Molecule: non-coding RNA, 909 nt
Organism: Callithrix jacchus (white-tufted-ear marmoset)
Lineage: Eukaryota; Metazoa; Chordata; Mammalia; Primates; Cebidae
Source: RefSeq, a predicted model, not a curated record
AUGCACAAGCGGGACGCCAGUGCCUCUCCGACAACGGACCAAGGGUUGGAGCCCCAGACGCUGGGACAGCUGCAGGGACUGAUGCCUCGAGGCUUCAAAACCAGCGCCCCCCGCCCUCCGUGCCAGCCCCAGCCGGGACCCCACAAGGCAAGGCCGAAGACGAUUGUGUUUGAGGAUGAGCUGCUCUCCCAGGCCCUCCUGGGCACCAAGAAGCCUAUUGGAGCCAUCCCUAAGGGGCAUACGCCUAGACCCCACCCAGUGCCCGACUAUGAGCUUUAAGUACCCACCGGUGAGCAGUGCGAGGGAACGGAGCCGAUAUGCCGCAGUGUUCCAGGACCAGUACGGAGAGUACUUGGCGCUCCAGCGGGAGGUGGGGUGCGCACAGGCAAAGCUCAGGCAGCUGGAGGCCCGGCUGAGCUCCCUGCCCCCACCCCAAAGCCAGAAGGAGGCCCAAGUUGCAGCCCGAGUUUGGAGGGAAUUUGAGAAGAAGCAAACGGAUUCUGGCUUCCUGGACAAGCAGGCUCGCUGCCACUACCUGAAGCAUAAACUGAGGCAUCUCAAGACCCAGAUCCAGAAGUUCGAUGACCGAGGAGACAGUGAGGGCUCUGUGUACUUCUGAAUGCCCCUGCAGACAGGCAGAGGUACACGUGGGGAUGCCGGUUCCUGGCUUUUCUUGGUAUCUCUCAGUCUUUCCUCUUGCAGUUCCCCCUACCAGGGGUAGCUUUCUCCACAACUGCAAAUGCCUCUUCAUUUUGGACUCAGCUUUGACAGCCCCUCCUCCGGGCAGGCCUCCCAGGACUUCCUUCUCUAGGACAUCUAGCUCUGACCCUACAGGGACUCCAGAUCUCAACCUGUUCCUUGGAAGUAGGUCCUGCUCUUCAUUUCAGUGAAAUAAACAUGUAUUACACA